CCUGGAGGUAAAAAAACAACAAAAUUAAAACAUUUAGUAGCUUUAUUAAUUUUAAUAUGAUUUAUAUUUAGCUUACAUUAAGGCGUACAUUGAUUGAUUUUAGUCAUAGUGCAAAGAGAUAAUGUCCUCUUCUGUUCUGUCUUUCAUCUUCAAUAGUUACUAUUUGAGCAUUUGAGUAAAACUAAAAUAAUAACUCUUUAUCUAUGAUGAGGACUCAGAGCUUAUACAAACUUAAGUUGCACAUAUGUAUCAUUAAUAAUGCUUACAGCUAAUCCAAAAUUUCUCAAACAAAAUAAAUAGAUAAUUAUAUCCUUUGAAUGUCGCAUUAACUAAGCCUAGUCUAAAUUAGGAUCACUGAUAGAAAAGAGGAAAAGCCUUCCAAAUGAGGACAGAAAAGAGGACAAAAAGUACAAGUAAAUUUAAUUUAUUAGACAUAUCAGUAAAAACUAAUACUGAAAAUUUGAUCUAUUAAGUAUCUUUAUUUUGAUCAGAUCAAGAGACAUUUUCUUCAGAUUUUAUUUUUAGAAAGAUGUCUCUGAAAGACUCAAUGGAGAUUUCUUAAUCUGUUUUGUCAACUAGGCAGAUACUGUGAAUGGGACAGUUCACACUUUUUAUCAUAGGAAAAAAAGUUGAAUGUAUACGAGUCCAGAUUUACAUAUAGAGGGUUGUAAAAAAAUGUUCCAUAUCUUUCUGUACUGCAAAUGAUUUCAACCUGAAAAGUUGUUUAAAAAACUAAACAUUCACAUCUAAUUCUUUUAGGUAUAGUAUUCUUGACAGUGUAGAAUUGUAAGUGACCUUGUACAUUUAAAUCAGAAAAUAUAAAGGAGUAAAUUUAAUGCUAGAUUCAUAUGGCAUUGCAUUAAAUAACAGAGUGAGGCUAAUUUUUUUUUCUUUUAGGCUAAAGCCUGCAUGACGGAAGACAGGACCUCAAAAACGAAGACCAGAACUCCUUUUGCCAGAUGCCUGAGAUCAAACAUGUGCUGGCAGCAGGAACUAAGAACAUCUCUCUCUUUGUUGCCACGAAUAAAACUGUUUGAUAUACAUCGAAUCCCAGACAUAUUUCUCUAAUUUCACCACCACAGGCCUAGUUUGUAUGACAUCUAUAAAUGUGGAAGGCAGACAGGAAGAAGAGUUACCAUCUUCUUCAAUUCAAGUGAAUCAUGCAAUAAUCCAUGGAUACAGUAAUUGUUUCUUCCCAUGUCUAGCAUAUAUACAAGAAGGUAAUAAAUUUUUAUCAGAUGUGACUCCUGCAUAUAAACUAUGUAUACAUAUACAUAUUAAAUGAGCUAUGCAAAAUAUGUAUUUGGGUUAAACACUUUGACUUUUCCAAUGAAAAACAAAUUCAAUAAAUCAACUUGCAAAAUUUAGGUACACAUUCAUUCUUCUUAUUAUAAAGGUAAAUACUUACAAUAUCAGAAGUCCCAAUGCUCUGAAGAAAUGGAAAAAUAUGUUUAAAAUAUACAUAAAUCAUAUAUCCUAAUGUUGUUUUUUAAUAUGUUAACACAAUGACUGAAUUUUUUUUUCAUGUUAAUGGCUCAGUUGUUUUUUUAAGAGUUUUAUAAUUUUAAUAAAACUUCUUAUAAUCCCUUUUUUAUUUAAUUAUAUUUUUUUUUACAAAAUUAAAUAUUAACAUUCCUGCCAUUCUGUUGUUAUAAAUGUUUUGUUUUGAACUGAAUGAACAUCAAAGUGUACAUGUAGUUUAAUACUAAUUGCAUAAACCACUAAACUUAAGUGAUAUGAUAAUGAAAAAAUUUCCAAGCUUUUGAAAAUUAACUCUGAUUUUACAAGUAUUAAUUUAAAAAAAAAAAGAUGAUGCUUAUGUUGAAAUUAUUAUUGUGAUAUUCAAUUUGUUUCAAAAUUAAGAUUUAUAUUUUUAUUGAAUGAAUGAAAUUUAUAGGAAUAAAAUUAAAUAUCAUGAAAUAUGCCUGUUUGUAUUCCAUUGUGAAAUUUAGCAAAUAAGUGCAUUGUUAUCACACAGAAGGACAAAAGUAAUAAUAGUUUAACUCUCAAAAUAAAUACAUAACUAUUAGGUAUUCUUGGCUGCUAAAAAUCUGGGUUUCUUUAAGGCAAUGACACAUACAAAUAUACAAAGAAUUAUAAAUCAAACCAUCUACUGAAUAACACUUAAAAUUUUAGAUACUGGUACCCAAUUCACUGAAGCAAGACAUAUCAAUAAUAUUAUAACAUUCAUUAUUUUUUAUUAAGUAAGCACGCAUUGACAUGCAUUAAAUAAAAGGGACAUAAUGUAAUACAUUGUCAGUUGGGU
Molecule: long non-coding RNA, 2266 nt
Organism: Biomphalaria glabrata
Lineage: Eukaryota; Metazoa; Mollusca; Gastropoda; Planorbidae
Exons: 3
Source: RefSeq, a predicted model, not a curated record